This is a small nucleolar RNA of Cricetulus griseus (Chinese hamster), 126 nucleotides long. Ensembl annotates it as small nucleolar RNA SNORA40. Lineage: Eukaryota; Metazoa; Chordata; Mammalia; Rodentia; Cricetidae. The record is from Ensembl.
AGCAUGCAUGUGUGGUUUGUUCAACUAGUGCACAAAAGCAGAGACGAGGCCUGCAAGGGCCUGUCUUCGUUUACAACCAGAGCUCAUAGUUCAGAAUGAGUUUUGAUACACACAAGAAGGACUACA